Long non-coding RNA from Sinocyclocheilus rhinocerous, 350 nucleotides. RefSeq lists it as uncharacterized. Lineage: Eukaryota; Metazoa; Chordata; Actinopteri; Cypriniformes; Cyprinidae. The record is from RefSeq and is a predicted model, not a curated record. The transcript has 3 exons.
CUACAGUCGAGCCCGUGAGGAGGCAAGAGCAGAGAUUGCACGUGCACGAGACCGACUCCGUGAGAGGACCGAACAGGAGAAGAGACGACUACAGCAGCAAGCUCUCUCACAGGCAGUGAAGGAUGACCUGCGGUUUCGCACACGCAUUAGUAACAGUACUUUAUGUAGUGGUUCGAACCUGAGUCUUUCCUCAAGCCCCACUUCAGGGUACAACAGCAGCAAUACUGCCUUACUGAAAGACAUUACCUCACCAUUAAUACAGGUAAACGGAGUCUCAGAAUUCAAAGUAAGGACUCGACCUCCAGUGAUCCCGUUGCAGACUUCAAAAGCUCAGCGUAGAUGGCUUUCAG